Molecule: long non-coding RNA, 1722 nt
Filed under: Homo sapiens (human)
Lineage: Eukaryota; Metazoa; Chordata; Mammalia; Primates; Hominidae
Description: non-protein coding lnc-SEMA6C-2:1
Source: RNAcentral
GCCUGUAGUCCCAGCUACUCUGGAGGCUGAGGCAGGAGAAUGGUGUGAACCCGGGAGGCGGAACUUGCAGUGAGCCGAGUGAGCCACUGCACUCUAGCCUAGGUGACAGAGGGAGACUCAUCUCAAAACAAAACAAAACAAAACAGUUUAUUGUAACUGUUGGUUUUGUAACUGUUCUCAUUGUCGGAUUAUCUUGACCAAUGAGAAUGGGUAGAGAAGAAAGAGGUGGCUAAGGACAUGACCAUAGGGAACACCAGCAUUUAGAGAGGUCAGAGAAGGCUAAGAAAGGUCAUAUUAGGCUGGGUGUGGUGGCUCACACCUGUAAUCCCAACACUUUGGAGGCUGAGGUGGGCAGAUCGCUUGAGGUCAGGAGUUCGAGACCAGCCUGGCCAACAUGGCGAAACCCUGUCUCUACUAAAAAUAUAAAAAUUAGCUGGGCGUGGUGGUGGGCGCCUGUAAUCCCAGCUACUCGGGAGGCUGAGAUGGAGAAGCGCUUGAACCCAGGAGGUGGAGGUUGCAGUGAGUGAGCCAAGAUUAUGCUACUGCACUCCAGCCUGGGGCGACAGAGUGAGUCUCUGUCUCAAAAAAAAAAAAAAAAGAAAAGAAAAGAAAAGAAAAGCCAUAUUAAUAGAAGUGAAACUAUCCAUUCAUUAAAAAUACAUAUUUAUUAAGCCCCUAGUCUUUGUUAAGAGAAAGAGGGACCUCAGGAGCCAAAAGAAGAAAGCAUUUCAAGGAGGGGGGAGUCAACAGGUCAAAUGGCACAGAGAGGGCAAAAGGAUAAAGACUGAAGAGUUGUUCAUUGAAUGUGACCAGGAGGUCGUUGGUGGCCUUAAUGAGAGCAAUCUCAGUGGACUGAUGGGGACAAAAACUAAAAUGAUUGAGAAUGAGAAUCAUGAAAAUGGAUAUAGCAAGUAUAGGUAACUCUAGAAGCUUAGUUAUGAAGGGAAGAGAAAUCGAGUGAUGACUGGGUGCAGACAAGGAUCAAGAGAAAGUUUGGAAUGUUUUCCUUUUAAUCAUGGGAAUUACUUGAGCAUGUGUAUAUGCUAAGGGGAAAAUAUCAGUAGAAAAGGACAGGUUAAGACUGGGAAUGGUGGCUGACGCCGGUAAUCCCAGCAGUUCGAGAGGCCGAGGCAGGAGAAUCACUUGAGCCUAGGAGUUCAAGACCAGCCUGGGCAACACAAUGAGACUCUGCCUCUAUUUUUUUUUUAAGUUAAUACUUUCUGUGUGCAGGCACUAUGCUACAAGGAAAGGAUACAGUGUUGAGCAAGAUAGACAACCAGGGACUGCAUACAACUUACAGUAAAGUCAUAGGUGAACCUUCGACAGGUGAUACGGAUGGCAUUCACUAGGAUGAGAGAGACAUGAUGCAGGCUCCUUGCUAACCAAGUAAAAGCUUUUGCUGAAGCUGUGUCCCUCGGGAACAUUUUCUUCUUUUGCACCAAGCCAACUCCCACCAAAGUUUUCCUGUCCUUCAUGAUAAAAUGUAUCCAGCAUCUUUCUGUGCAGUCUUCGGAGAAUAUUUAUUGUCUUCUUUGCACAUUUGGAAAUUUAUGUUCAAUGUAGCUUUUCUUUUGAGACUUGGUGUUGUCUUUUUAAUAGUUUAGUACUAUUAAAUAUUUAAUAUUUAGUACUGUCUUUUUAAUAGUUUAGACUUUUUAAUAGUUUAGUAUGUGCAAAUCUUAUUUUAAUUCAAAUAUAUUAUCAUUUUCUUAAAGUCUGGAA